CCUACGGGAUGCUGCAGUGAGGAAUAUUGGUCAAUGGACGCAAGUCUGAACCAGCCAUGCCGCGUGCAGGAAGACGGCUCUAUGAGUUGUAAACAGCUUUUGUACGAGGGUAAACGCAGAUACGCGUAUCUGUCUGAAAGUAACGUACGAAUAAGGAUCGGCUAAGUCCGUGCCAGGAGCCGCGGUAAUACGGAGGAUUCAAGCGUUAUCCGGAUUUAUUGGGUUUAAAGGGUGCGUAGGCGGUCGGUUAAGUUAGAGGUGAAAUCCCGAGGCUCAACCUCGGAACUGCCUCUGAUACUGGUCGGCUAGAGUGUAGUUGCGGUAGGCGGAAUGUCUGGUGUAGCGGUGAAAUGCUUAGAGAUC
RNAcentral lists this ribosomal RNA (363 nucleotides) under uncultured bacterium. RNAcentral's name for it is "partial 16S ribosomal RNA". It matches the Rfam family "Bacterial small subunit ribosomal RNA", at positions 338 to 698 of the family's 1533-position model. The record is from RNAcentral.